This is a long non-coding RNA of Brassica napus (rape), 3762 nucleotides long. RefSeq lists it as uncharacterized. NCBI's taxonomy places the organism in Eukaryota, Viridiplantae, Streptophyta, Magnoliopsida, Brassicales, Brassicaceae. The record is from RefSeq and is a predicted model, not a curated record. The transcript is spliced from 5 exons.
AGAUUUAAAAAAUUUCUUACUGCACAUGGUGCAGGAAAACACCUAGUAGUACUUUAAUAAAAUAGAUACCAACACACUGGCAGUAACUUUUAAUUUUACAGCAGUUACAUUUUUAAACAGUCCAGUUAAAAAUCUUUAUCUACAUUUAGUCAAUUACAAUUGUAACCUUAGUGUUUUUUCUUCGUAAGGCCCUAGAAGCUCGUUUCGUCUCUCCUUCGCUUUACGAUGAGCACCUCCUCACAGUUUCCUCCUCCAUCUCCGGCGAGUUUAUUGGCAUCAUCGUCGAUGAGGCUAUGGAGACCAGCAGCUCAGCGUAAUCUUAGGAACCAGUGGUCAAAGCUCUCAACUUUUCGGCAACAGGUGAAAGUUCUGAAGUUUAACUCUUUUGUCUUUCUAUUCUCUGUGUGUUUUACUUCACAUAUUGAGUCUUUGUAUGGGAACAAAUGAUAUUAUGGACCACUUGGGUUCCAAAAAAUCUGAAUUAGACCCAUCUUUUUUUUUAUUUAAAUUUAAAUAGAAAUCUAACUAAAAUAACUAAAAAAACCUAAGGACUUAAACAUAUUUACUAACCUAUGUCAUUACUAUCAUACCCAGAAUUCGACCCGGUUUCAGACCCGAAAUUCAACCCAACUUUAACCUAAAGUUUCUUCUUCUUCCCCUUUUCUUUUCCAUUAUUAAUUCUUUCACCAUAAAACAAAAUCAAAAUUUUCUUCAACCAUCCACUAAUUUUCACUUUCUUAUCUCAAAUCGAUCAAUCCAUAGAAAGAUUUAGUCAAUUAUAUAUUAUCCAAAAUCAAAUUUCAUCUUUUACAUACGAGAUUCAAGAUAAAGAAGAACGCAGAGUAUUACUAAUACAACUAGUACAACUCCAACUAGUACAACUCCAACUAGUACAACUAGUACAACUAAAAUGAGUAUAACUAGUAUAAAUAUAUUAAGUAUAACCUAGACGUUAUUUGAGAAGUGAUUUUCUUAUGCGUCAUCGCCAUGUUCAUUAUCACCAAGAAAAAAGAUGACACGGUUUUGAGAAAUUAUGAAAUGACAUUAUAAUUUCUUUUAUUUAUUGUUUUCAGCAUAUGAAAAUGCUAUAAAAGAAGAUGAUGUAGAACCAAUAAGACAUAUUGUCAAAUAUAUGAAUAGUAUAUGAAUAGUAUAUUUUUAAUAAUAUUUGAUUUGGAUAUUGAUAUGUUUACAAGUUAUACUAGUUGUACUAUUUUUCGGGAAAAUCAUCUUCAUCUUUUUCUCUCGAGACCACAAAACUAGAUGCGGAACCAGAAAAUUCUUCAACUAUGGCUCUAUAAUGCAAUUCACCGAAAAGAAGAAGGUGAGAGCGCUGACUACGAAUAAGAACGACUCACCGGCGACAAACAAAAGAAGAAGAAGAAGGGUGUGUCCUUGUCAAAUCCAACCAAGCGAGCUUGGAAUUGCGAAAGAGAAAUAGCGACUCAACCGGACCCUCAAGGUGGUCUUUUCCCGAAACCGUCAACGGAUGCACCAUCUCAGCGCGGUAGUGAGCCCUAUAAAUCACCAAAUUGACCCGAAGAUCCUCUUUUUUAUGAAUUUUUUUAGUUAAAAUUUACAGGUAUUUUAGUCAAUACUCAACACUAGUGUAAAACAACAAUGCUUAAAACAUGAUACACAUUUAAAACGUGAUGCACAUUUAAAACAAUACUAAAUAAAAUACAAUACUAAAUAAAAUACCAAGUAGUUGUACCAGUUUGUUAGUUAUACCGGCUAUAACAUAGUUGUACUAGUUUUUGAGUUGUACCCGUUUGUGCAUAGUUGUACAUUAGCUGUGAAAUUGAAAAAUAUUAGUUGUACCACAUAAUAAAUAAAGGUACUUCAGUUGUACCACUUAUUUAUGUUUACAUGUCUGUGCCCGGUUACAAUGAAAUAAACAAUUUUGUAAAAAUAUAUUUCAUGUAUGUUUUCCAAAAAUUAUGUGGACAAACAAGUUAACAAACCUUAAAAGUAUAAGGUAGAUCAUGUAAACUUAUGGAAUUGUGCAAUAAUUUUCAAAAAAAUAAUUCCAAAACUACAAAUAAAUGAAGAGAAACUUGAGUACAUACUAAUUGUGAUAUUUGAUUGUUUUCUAAUAUGGAAUACCAAAUUAGUUUUAUUAAUUUCUAAAAUGUCAAAGUUGUACUAGUUUUACCAGUAAUACUCGUCUAAUAUAUAUCAAUUGUUUAUAUGUCUAGUUUUAGGGUUUUACCAAUAUUUUCACAUCAUAACUUUGUAAAAAUAUGUUUGAUAUUUGUUUAUCAUAAUAAUAUAGCUAAUAUAGUUAACAAACCUUAAAAGUAAAAAAUAUAUAAUGUAAAAUUAAGAGUGUAAUGUAAUAAUUUAACAAAAAUAUGAAAAGUCUAAAAUAGAUGAAAUUUUGUCUUCAGAUACCAAUUACGAUAUUUUCUUGUUUAUUUCAUAUGUAAACCAUGAUUUAUAGUCGUGUUAAUUAUAGUAACUACAUAUAAUACAUAAAUUAUAACAUUUAUAUACUAGUUAUACUAGUUAUUCAAUUUUUUAACAUGUUUAGUUGUAAGAGUUAUAUUGGUUGUACCCAGUCGAAUGCGAAUGAAAUAACAAAAAUUGUGUGGCUGUGAGUUGAUCACGUGGUUGAGAUAAGAAAAUAGAAUGAGAGUGAAGGAGAGAUGAGUGAAAUCGAUGACCAAAAUUAAAACAUGAUGAGAAGAUCAGACGGCUCAUGAUUAAGUUUCAUUAAUGGCAAUCUUGUAAUAUUUUAUCCAUUAUUUCCUUUCAUGAUCUAAUGGCUCUCCUUAAAACAGAAAUGAUUUGAUCAAAGGGUUCAUAUUGAUCCAUCAUUAAUGGCAAAAACGUCAUUUACACAUACUUGGUUCACAUAGAAUAAUUAAGGUGGUGGGAGAUUAUUUUUCGGCCAUUUGGUCGAUAUGAAAUUUUUGCCCCUUUGUAUGUACUUCAGAGUUCGUAUCGGAUCAAGCUUCUAUCUUCGUACAAGGAAAUGAAUGGUAGGUGUUGUUGUUGAGAUGGUGAAUGAAGCCGAGUAGCGGGUCGAUUAUACAGUUCUCUGGCUCUAAGGAAGAUUCAGAUGAUGCUGGAGAUUGCGGUGGCAUCCCUCUGUUUUAUUUUUUCAAUGUCUCUGCGUUUGAGAAGAUGGCCGAGGAGCUUGUGGAGAUGUUCAAACGCGAAGUAAUUCUAAAGAGAUUACUUGUAAUGGAACUGGUCUCUUUAAGCUGUGUGAAGUUCCUCAACCAGACAAGUUCAGUUGGUCAGCGGAGCUUUACCAUGGGAGUGUAUGUGAGCCAAUUCUCCUCAGACGCUGAGAGAAGAUAAUCUCGAUUUUACUUGACAGCUUGGCUUGCAGAGAUAAACAUUGACACUCAUAGGUUGACUGACCACUGUCAUUCUCGAAUUCCACUCUUCUGAUGUGCCUGUGUUGAAUAUUUGUUGCAGGAAAGAUGAGAUAUUAGCAAUGGUCGGGGAAGAAAUUUGACUCACCUUCUAAAGUUUGAAAGCUAUUCCUUAGUGUGCCGUCUGGUUAAGUUUCUGUGACUUUAAAGCUUGACUGCUUCUACAAAGCUCCAAGUGACUUAAGAGACAGAUGAAGAGAUUUUUAGAAUCUUAGCUUUGUUGAAAUUAUAUUGCUAUGUUUUGUUUAAUGGAAACCAUAGGUUGUAUGUAAUCUUAUGAGAUUUUUCUGUUAUGAGCAAUUUUUCUUUACGAAGUAUACAAAAGAUUCUGACUUGCAAUGAUACGAAUACAUUAAUGAUUAAUUCUACAUGUCUA